This 443-nucleotide ribosomal RNA is filed under the name uncultured bacterium. RNAcentral describes it as "partial 16S ribosomal RNA". It matches the Rfam family "Bacterial small subunit ribosomal RNA", at positions 338 to 795 of the family's 1533-position model. The record is from RNAcentral.
CCUACGGGAGGCAGCAGUGGGGAAUAUUGGGCAAUGGAGGAAACUCUGACCCAGCAACGCCGCGUGAAUGAUGAAGGUCUUCUGAUUGUAAAGUUCUUUUCUAAGGGAAGAAGAAUGUGACGGUACCUUAGUAAUAAACCUCGGCUAACUACGUGCCAGCAGCCGCGGUAAUACGUAGGAGGCGAGCGUUAUCCGGAUUGACUGGGCGUAAAGGGUGCGUAGGUGGUUUGGGAAGUUAGUAGCGUAAUUCCAAGGCUCAACCUUGGAACUACUACUAAAACUGGUGGACUUGAGUGCAGGAGAGGCAAGCGGAAUGCGUGGUGUAGCGGUGGAAUGCGUAGAUAUCACGAGGAACACCAGUGGCGAAGGCAGGUUGCUAGACUGUAACUGACACUGAGGCACGAAAGCGUGGGGAGCAAACAGGAUUAGAUACCCUUGUAGUC